Molecule: ribosomal RNA, 407 nt
Filed under: uncultured bacterium
Lineage: Bacteria
Description: partial 16S ribosomal RNA
Rfam family: Bacterial small subunit ribosomal RNA
Source: RNAcentral
AAUAUGACGCAAUGGAGGGAACGCUGACGCGGCGACGCCGCGUGAGCGAUGAAGGUCNNNGGAUCNUCCAGCUCUGUCCUUGGNGAGNAAGGUCUUCGGACUUGACGGUACCUAUGGAGGAAGCCCCGGCCAACUACGUGCCAGCAGCCGCGGUAAUACGUGGGGGGCAAGCGUUGUCCGGAAUUAUUGGGCGUAAAGGGUGCGUAGGCGGCCUGUUAAGUCAGAUGUGAAAGCCCACGGCUUAACCGUGGGACUGCAUUUGAAACGGGAGGGCUUGAGUAUCGGAGAGGGUAGUGGAAUUCCCAGUGUAGCGGUGAAAUGCGUAGAUAUUGGGAGGAACACCAGUGGCGAAGGCGACUACCUGGACGAUUACUGACGCUGAUGCACGAAAGCUAGGGGAGCAAACA